CACGUAGGGCGCAAGCGUUGUCCGGAAUUAUUGGGCGUAAAGAGCUCGUAGGCGGUCUGUUGCGUCCGCUGUGAAAACUCGGGGCUUAACCCCGAGCCUGCAGUGGAUACGGGCAGACUAGAGGUAGGUAGGGGAGAAUGGAAUUCCCGGUGUAGCGGUGAAAUUCGUAGAUAUCAGGAGGAACACCGGUGGCGAAGGCGGGUCUCUGGGCCGAUAUUGACGCUGAGGAGCGAAAGCGUGGGGAGCGAACAGG
Molecule: ribosomal RNA, 253 nt
Filed under: uncultured bacterium
Lineage: Bacteria
Description: partial 16S ribosomal RNA
Rfam family: Bacterial small subunit ribosomal RNA
Source: RNAcentral